This 1273-nucleotide ribosomal RNA is filed under the name Choroterpes yixingensis. Its description in RNAcentral is "16S ribosomal RNA". The stretch from base 846 to 1202 matches the Rfam family "Archaeal large subunit ribosomal RNA", at positions 2150 to 2716 of the family's 2987-position model. Lineage: Eukaryota; Metazoa; Arthropoda; Insecta; Ephemeroptera; Leptophlebiidae. The record is from RNAcentral.
UAAUUUUCAAAUUUUGUUUAUUUAAAACAUUAUUAAAUUUAUUAAAAGAAUAAAAGUAUAAUUUAGUUUAUUAUUUUUUAUAAAGGUAAUUUUAUUAAUUUACUGUAAAGGUUAAAAUGAAAUAGUUGAAAUUUUAUAAAUAAAAAGUAGAUAAACUAAUUGUACCUUUUGUAUCAGGGUUUAUUAAUUAUUAAUUUAAAUAAAAAAUUCUCGAAAUAAUAUGAAUUAAAUAAUUUUGAUUUUAUAGUAAUAAAUAUAUUAAAUAAAAGUAUUUAGUAAUGAAAAGUUAGUCGUAUAUUAUGAUAUCUAGUUUCUUUAGAAAUGAAUUAAAUUCUGGUUUAUUAAAAUUUAAUUAAUUAAAGAAUUAAAAAAUUAAAAUAAAUCUAAAAAUAUAAGGGAUAAGCUUUAUAUUUUAUUAAAUUUAUAAUAUUAUUUAUAAAAGUAGGCUUAUAAGUGGUUAUCAAAAAAGUGUUAUAACUUGUAAUUUUAUUAAAUAAUUUUCUAUAAUUUAAAUUAUUAUAAAGAAAUUUUAUAUAAUAAAAGAAUUAAAAAUAUAAUGAUAAAAUUAAUAUUAAAUAUUUAAAUAUAAAUUAAAUAAUUAAAUUUAUAAAAGGAAUUCGGCAAAUUUAAUUACUCACCUGUUUAUCAAAAACAUCGCCUUUUGAAUUAAAUAAAAGGUUUGACCUGCCCACUGUAAAUAAAGGGCCGCGGUAUAUUGACCGUGCAAAGGUAGCAUAAUCAUUAGUCUUUUGAUUGAGGGCUGGAAUGAAUGGUUGGAUGAAGUAAAAGCUGUCUCUUAUAAAUUAUUAAUAAUUUAACUUUUUAGUCAAAAGGCUAAAAUAAAUUUAGAGGACGAGAAGACCCUAUAGAUCUUAAUAAAUUUCAAAAAUUAUGAUAGCUGAAAUUAAUAAUUUAUUAUAAUUUAUUUUAUUGGGGCGAUAAGGAAAUAAAGAAACUUUCUUAAUUAAAACAUAUAUUAAUGAAUUUAAGAUCCAUUAUUAAUGAUAAUAAGAUUAAGUUACCUUAGGGAUAACAGCAUAAUCUUCUUUAAGAGUUCUAAUCAACGAGAAGGGUUGUGACCUCGAUGUUGGACUAAAGGUAAUUUUAGGUGUAGCUGCUUAAAAAUAAGGUCUGUUCGACCUAUUAAACUUUACAUGAUCUGAGUUCAAACCGGUGUGAGCCAGGUUGGUUUCUAUCCUUAAAAUUGAUAAUAAUUUAGUACGAAAGGACCAAUUAUUAAAUCUAAGAGAUUUAUAUUUUAUGGAUUACUAAU